GAUGAACGCUAGCUACAGGCUUAACACAUGCAAGUCGAGGGGAAACGACAUCGAAAGCUUGCUUUUGGUGGGCGUCGACCGGCGCACGGGUGAGUAACGCGUAUCCAACCUGCCCACCACUUGGGGAUAACCUUGCGAAAGUAAGACUAAUACCCAAUGAUAUCCCACGAAGGCAUCCGAAUGGGAUUAAAGAUUUAUCGGUGAUGGAUGGGGAUGCGUCUGAUUAGCUUGUUGGCGGGGUAACGGCCCACCAAGGCAACGAUCAGUAGGGGUUCUGAGAGGAAGGUCCCCCACAUUGGAACUGAGACACGGUCCAAACUCCUACGGGAGGCAGCAGUGAGGAAUAUUGGUCAAUGGACGGAAGUCUGAACCAGCCAAGUAGCGUGCAGGAUGACGGCCCUAUGGGUUGUAAACUGCUUUUAUGCGGGGAUAAAGUGAGGGACGUGUCCCUUUUUGUAGGUACCGCAUGAAUAAGGACCGGCUAAUUCCGUG
Molecule: ribosomal RNA, 492 nt
Filed under: uncultured bacterium
Lineage: Bacteria
Description: bacterial SSU rRNA
Rfam family: Bacterial small subunit ribosomal RNA
Source: RNAcentral